GACGAACGCUGGCGGCGUGCCUAAUACAUGCAAGUCGAGCGAACGGACGAGAAGCUUGCUUCUCUGAUGUUAGCGGCGGACGGGUGAGUAACACGUGGAUAACCUACCUAUAAGACUGGGAUAACUUCGGGAAACCGUAGCUAAUACCGGAUAAUAUUUUGAACCGCAUGGUUCAAAAGUGAAGGACGGUCUUGCUGUCACUUAUAGAUGGAUCCGCGCUGCAUUAGCUAGUUGGUAAGGUAACGGCUUACCAAGGCAACGAUGCAUAGCCGACCUGAGAGGGUGAUCGGCCACACUGGAACUGAGACACGGUCCAGACUCCUACGGGAGGCAGCAGUAGGGAAUCUUCCGCAAUGGGCGAAAGCCUGACGGAGCAACGCCGCGUGAGUGAUGAAGGUCUUCGGAUCGUAAAACUCUGUUAUUAGGGAAGAACAUAUGUGUAAGUAACUGUGCACAUCUUGACGGUACCUAAUCAGAAAGCCACGGCUAACUACGUG
Molecule: ribosomal RNA, 497 nt
Filed under: uncultured bacterium
Lineage: Bacteria
Description: partial 16S ribosomal RNA
Rfam family: Bacterial small subunit ribosomal RNA
Source: RNAcentral